AGCGGAGCUGCAGCCGCGCCCCACCCCCAGCCCCCGCACGCUCCCCCUCCCGCCCUCCUCCCUCUGGGGGCGGUCCUGCGUGCCGGCUGCUGGCGUCACUUCCGGCCAGUUCGGAAUGCGAUAAAAGGCUCGGGUUUGCGCCCUUUUCAGAUUCCCACUCCAUGAAACUCUAGUUAUUUUUCCUCCAACUCCGUUAUCUGUACAUCCAUUGUAUCGCUGCUGGAUAAUAUGAAAUGGACUCUCUUGCGUUGGCAUUCAGUAGCGUUGCGGCAGAACUAGUGUUUCUACGACUUUAGGGUUCGUAGCAAGGGAGUCGUAGCGUGCAACAGCCACAGUUUGGAUGCAAAACGAAAGUAGGGAGUGUGUGUCAAGACUUUCACAAUUGGUGAAUAUUGCUUGAAGUCGCAGAAGAGGAGAAACUACCUGUUUGGAAGUGUGAUGCAAACUUUGUUGAAAUGUAUUCACUGCGAGUGUAGAAAAAUUCUGCAGUGUUAUGCAGCCCAUCUUAAAGAACUUGGUUUUCCACAUAGUUCUUGGGUUACCUGGGGGGGGGUGGAGGGAGGGGAGGCUUUUAGACAUCAGUACUAAGCUCCUACUCCCAAACCAGUGCUAUUGAAUCCUCCUGAAACCCCAGUAGAGACUUUGAUUUUGAAGAGUUUCCAAGCCUUGCAAAUUGGAAGAUUGGUCUGAGGUUUCUUUUUUAUUAUUAUUAUUAUUUAUGUCUGUUUUUUAAACUAUUCCAACCAGAUUGUUCUUCCACUAGCAGGAUGACAGGAGUUUAAAAGUUAAGACUUGAUUAAUGUUCUUGUGCUUAACAACGUUGAGACACGACAUUGUCAGCAGAGGGAAUGCAGUUGGCAGCAGUUGUGAGGGUUUUCGAGAAUAUAUGAGUAGGAGAUUAAUGGAUGACACAUGGAUACAAUUAGUAAUUUAAUAUUAGUUUACAAAAUUAUGAGAUAACAGGGGUAUAAUAACAUCUUUCCUACUACCCGAA
This is a long non-coding RNA of Erinaceus europaeus (western European hedgehog), 994 nucleotides long. RefSeq lists it as uncharacterized. Lineage: Eukaryota; Metazoa; Chordata; Mammalia; Eulipotyphla; Erinaceidae. The record is from RefSeq and is a predicted model, not a curated record. The transcript has 2 exons.